UUUUUCACAUUUUAGGUUUUCCAUACCAAAUGAAGUCUAGUUGCUCUGAAACUUUUUGGUGAUUUUUUUCUAGAACUAAAGAAGACCAAAAAGCAUCGGAAGAAGGCUGGAUGCCUCACGAGGGGCCCACAAACCAAAAGGACGCGGCCCGGGGGGAACGCCCUGAUGGCUUGUGCCUCCCUCGUGGUCCUUCUGACUCCAGUAUUUGUCUUAUAAAUUCUCAUCUACCAUAAAAAUAGCACAG
This 244-nucleotide long non-coding RNA is filed under the name Hordeum vulgare. Its description in RNAcentral is "long non-coding RNA (HVUL_LNC000705)". The record is from RNAcentral. Lineage: Eukaryota; Viridiplantae; Streptophyta; Magnoliopsida; Poales; Poaceae.